GAUGAGCGCUAGCGACAGGCCUAACACAUGCAAGUCGAGGGGCAGCACGAGGUAGCAAUACUUGGGUGGCGACCGGCGGACGGGUGAGUAACACGUAUGCAACCUGCCCGUAAUCGGGGGAUAACCCGGAGAAAUUCGGACUAACACUCCAUGUAUCUGUAUUAUUGCAUGAUAAAACAGAAAACGCAAGGAUUACGGAUGGGCAUGCGGAUGAUUAGCUGGUUGGCGGGGUAACGGCCCACCAAGGCGACGAUCAUUAGGGGUUCUGAGAGGAAGGUCCCCCACAUUGGAACUGAGAAACGGUCCAAACUCCUACGGGAGGCAGCAGUGAGGAAUAUUGGUCAAUGGGCGAGAGCCUGAACCAGCCAAGUCGCGUGAAGGAAGAAGGUCUUAUGGAUUGUAAACUUCUUUAGCAGGGGAAUAAAGGUUAUUACGAGCUAAUAAUUUGCAGGUACUCUGCGAAAAAGGAUCGGCUAACUCCGUG
RNAcentral lists this ribosomal RNA (484 nucleotides) under uncultured bacterium. Its description in RNAcentral is "bacterial SSU rRNA". It matches the Rfam family "Bacterial small subunit ribosomal RNA", at positions 28 to 507 of the family's 1533-position model. The record is from RNAcentral.